GUCCCGCUAGCUCAAUUGGAUAGAGCAGUUCCGUCCUAAGGAAAAGGUUGUAGGUUCGACUCCUACGCGGGAUACCA
This 77-nucleotide transfer RNA is filed under the name Candidatus Saccharimonadota bacterium. Its description in RNAcentral is "Candidatus Saccharibacteria bacterium tRNA-Arg". It matches the Rfam family "tRNA". From Rfam's summary of the family: Transfer RNA (tRNA) molecules are approximately 80 nucleotides in length. Their secondary structure includes four short double-helical elements and three loops (D, anti-codon, and T loops). RNAcentral also lists the same sequence under 1 other name. Lineage: Bacteria; Candidatus Saccharimonadota. The record is from RNAcentral.